CCUACGGGGGGCUGCAGUGAGGAAUCUUGGGCAAUGGGCGAAAGCCUGACCCAGCGACGCCGCGUGGAGGAAGAAGGCCUUCGGGUCGUAAACUCCUGUUUGGGGAGAAGAACAAGAGAGAAGUUAAUAGCUUCUCUCUCUGACGGUAUCCCCGGAGAAAGCUCCGGCUAAUUACGUGCCAGCAGCCGCGGUAAUACGUAAGGAGCGAGCGUUGUCCGGAUUUACUGGGCGUAAAGGGCUCGUAGGUGGUUUCUUAGGUCUCACGUGAAAUUCCCUGGCUCAACCAGGGAGGGUCGUGGGAAACCGAGAGGCUAGAGGGCAGGAGAGGAGAGUGGAAUUCCCGGUGUAGCGGUGAAAUGCGUAGAGAUCGGGAGGAACACCAGUGGUGAAGACGGCUCUCUGGACUGUCCCUGACACUGAGGAGCGAAAGCCAGGGGAGCAAACCGGCUUAGAUACCCGAGUAGUC
RNAcentral lists this ribosomal RNA (466 nucleotides) under uncultured bacterium. RNAcentral's name for it is "bacterial SSU rRNA". It matches the Rfam family "Bacterial small subunit ribosomal RNA", at positions 338 to 795 of the family's 1533-position model. The record is from RNAcentral.